This is an RNA transcript of Triplophysa dalaica, 1614 nucleotides long. It is a transcript of the gene named rho-related GTP-binding protein RhoB-like, with no coding region annotated. The transcript is spliced from 2 exons. NCBI's taxonomy places the organism in Eukaryota, Metazoa, Chordata, Actinopteri, Cypriniformes, Nemacheilidae. The record is from RefSeq and is a predicted model, not a curated record.
CUAUAUUAGGAACUCACAGAACGCUUAUAAAGUCCAGCACUGACACACAGUGUUUGUUAAACAGCACUGCUUGCGCACCACUGAGCACUACAGUCUUUAGUCGUUGUUUUGCUGCAUACAGUGUGUGUAUCUCUUCACAAAUGGCAAGCAUUCGUAAAAAGCUGGUGGUGGUUGGAGACGGAGCGUGUGGAAAGACGUGUCUCCUGAUCGUUUUCAGUAAAGACGAAUUUCCAGAGGUUUACGUGCCCACUGUUUUCGAAAACUACGUGGCGGACAUUGAAGUGGACACAAAACAAGUUCAGCUGGCUUUAUGGGACACGGCGGGGCAAGAGGACUACGACCGCCUACGGCCCUUAUCUUACCCGGACACUGACGUUAUUCUCAUGUGCUUUUCAGUGGACAGCCCGGACUCCCUGCAAAACAUCCCCGAAAAGUGGGUACCGGAAGUGAAGCACUUCUGUCCUAAUGUGCCCGUCAUUUUGGUGGCGAAUAAGAAAGAUUUGCGAAACGACGAGAUCGUGAGAAGUGAGCUGUGGAGAAAGAAACAGGAGCCCGUGAAGACGGAGGACGUGCGCGCCAUGGCUGCGCGCAUCGGAGCGCAAGCGUACGUGGAGUGCUCCGCCAAAACCAAAGAAGGGAUUCGGGAAGUAUUUGAGACCGCUACGCGAGCUUCCUUACAGAAGAGACCCAGACCGUUGACUGGUUGUUUAAACUGUUGUCGAUUGAUGUGAAUGGCGGAAUCAUGCGGUCACAAACGGAUGACUCAAUGGAAAGAUUCACUUUGAGAGGGAUGAAAAUGGAGAAAGGCAGGUGGCAGUGUCCAGGAGCUGACAUUCAUUGGGUACGGAGUUCCACGUCAAAAUGUGAAGGAUGUCCAUCUUUUAUUCAUCCAAGUAGUUUCUAAAUGCUCUUUAGAUGCACUUUUAAUGCACUUUUAAAUCAUAAAAAUUGAAGUUUUUGAAGCUAUUCUUUAAGAAUAUGAACAAAUACCCAACCAGUUAUUCUCUCCAAUUUCCAUUACUGACUAUAUUUAUCUACUAAAGAGAUAAAUUAGUAAAGUUCUGUUAUAGUUUUUUAGAUUUUCUGUCUACAUGGUUCUUAUUUGAUUCAUCUACGACUGGUAAAGGUUAUAUAAACAUUUUUUUUUAAAGAACAAAUAGUCUAGAUUUGAUAGACGCAAAGAAAGUAAUAUGACGUACCUGUACUGUAUUUAUAUAUUUUUCAAGCUGCUCUUUAUAUGACAAUUGAACUAUGUUUUAGAUGGUAGGAUAGUUAAACACGGUCAACUGUUAAUAUUGCAGAGUAAAAUAAAUGUUUAUCAUGUGAUGCCAUUGGGGUUUAAAUUUGCAUAAAUGGGUCAAAUGAAUUUUUUGGACCAUCCAAGUAACAUGUCAUGUUUAUUGUCACAUGAUGGUUGGCGAACAAGUAGGCUUCUAAAUAUGUUUUGUUUGGUAACAAGAAUAGUCUUAGACCAUUUUAAAUGUGUUUAAAAUUAAAGAAAUUGGUUUACUCUGCUUUCUGAGACAUUUGCUUUAAGAUAAUAUAAGAAAUGGGAACAUGUGUAUUUUUGUUGAUAAAAUACAUUUCAUAUUAAAUCAUAUUCUUUUUAAACGA